AUGCGGCUUUGGAUCUUGACUAAGGAUUAUCUUCAACUAGAAAACAUCAACACUGACACUUGGCAUCUUGAGAGAUCCGUCAAAGAUUGGUGGAUCAAGCGGUCGGACUCUUCCAUCCCCAAUAGGAAGGACAAGGCUUCCAACACCAUGUAUGUAUGCUGGGCCAAAUGGAAUGAAAGAAAUGUACGGAUUUUUCGCAACAAGAGUGUUGCACCGUCGGUAUUGCUACAUGCCAUAAAAGAUGAAGCUCGUCUUUGGGCGAUCACGGGGGCGAAAAAAAUAGGCGUCAUCUAAUCAGGAGAGCAAUCACUUUGUGUGUCGGGCCUUGUAACUUUCUCUCCCUAUCCCUACGAGGCAAAAAAAAAUUGCCUCCUUUCAAAAGAAAUUUUGUAA
This 393-nucleotide ribosomal RNA is filed under the name Triticum aestivum (bread wheat). Its description in RNAcentral is "partial small subunit ribosomal RNA". Lineage: Eukaryota; Viridiplantae; Streptophyta; Magnoliopsida; Poales; Poaceae. The record is from RNAcentral.